AGUGUACUUUGAAAAAGGACUGCCCUGCCCACCUGAUUAAAUUUAACGGCCGCGGUAUCCUAACCGUGCAAAGGUAGCAUAAUAAAUUGUCCCUUAAAUGAGGACUAGUAUGAACGGCACCACCAGAGUUUAACUGUCUCCCCCUUUUAAUCAAUGAAAUUAAUCUUCCCGUGAAGAAACGGAAAUACAAGUAUAAGACGAGAAGACCCUAUGGAGCUUUAAACUUAAUAUCACUUAUUUAUAUUUAUAGCAACCCAUUUAACAAGAGUGUCCUUAUAGUUUUAGGUUGGGGCGACCCUGGAGAAAAAUAAAUCCUCCAGAUUGAAAGGGUAUUAAUCCUUAUAUUAGAAUUACAAUUCAAAUAAACAAAAAUUUGACAAAACUGACCCAGAAUUAACUGAUCAGUGAACCAAGUUACCCUAGGGAUAACAGCGCUAUCCAUUUCAAGAGCCCAUAUCGACAAAUGGGUUUACGACCUCGAUGUUGGAUUAGGGUAUCCGAGCAGCGCAGCAGUUGCUAAUGGUUCGUUUGUUCAACGAUUAAUACCCCACGUGAUCUGAGUUCAGACCGG
This 571-nucleotide ribosomal RNA is filed under the name Hyperolius tanneri (Tanner's reed frog). Its description in RNAcentral is "partial 16S ribosomal RNA". It matches the Rfam family "Bacterial large subunit ribosomal RNA", at positions 1881 to 2619 of the family's 2925-position model. Lineage: Eukaryota; Metazoa; Chordata; Amphibia; Anura; Hyperoliidae. The record is from RNAcentral.